UACGUUCCCGGGCCUUGUACACACCGCCCGUCACGCCAUGGAAGCCGGAGGGACCCGAAACCGGUGGGCCAACCGCAAGGGGGCAGCCGUCUAAGGUCAAUUCGGUGACUGGGGCGAAGUCGUAACAAGGUACCC
RNAcentral lists this ribosomal RNA (135 nucleotides) under uncultured bacterium. Its description in RNAcentral is "partial 16S ribosomal RNA". It matches the Rfam family "Bacterial small subunit ribosomal RNA", at positions 1367 to 1501 of the family's 1533-position model. The record is from RNAcentral.